GUGCUCGCUUCGGCAGCAUGUAUACUAAGAUUGGAGCGAUACAGAGAAGACUAGCACAACCCUGCGCAAGCAUGACACGCAAAUCCGCGACCACUCCCAAAGAGAA
Molecule: non-coding RNA, 106 nt
Organism: Erinaceus europaeus (western European hedgehog)
Lineage: Eukaryota; Metazoa; Chordata; Mammalia; Eulipotyphla; Erinaceidae
Source: Rfam